RNAcentral lists this ribosomal RNA (301 nucleotides) under uncultured bacterium. RNAcentral's name for it is "partial 16S ribosomal RNA". It matches the Rfam family "Bacterial small subunit ribosomal RNA", at positions 509 to 808 of the family's 1533-position model. The record is from RNAcentral.
CAGCCGCCGCGGUAAUACGUAGGUCCCGAGCGUUGUCCGGAUUUAUUGGGCGUAAAGGGAGCGCAGGCGGUUUAGUAAGUCUGGAGUUAAAGGCAUUGGCUCAACCAAUGUAUGCUUUGGAAACUGUUUGACUUGAGUGCAGAAGGGGAGAGUGGAAUCCCAUGUGUAGCGGAGAAAUGCGUAGAUAUAUGGAGGAACACCGGUGGCGAAAGCGGCUCUCUGGUCUGUCACUGACGCUGAGGCUCGAAAGCGUGGGUAGCGAACAGGAUUAGAUACCCGCGUAGUCCCUGUCUCUUAUACA